AUGUAUAUAUAUAUAUAUAUGCAUCGGCUCUUUCUCUACGGGAGGAGGAAUUUCAGGGGAAAAAAAAUAUAUAUCAAAAAAAAAAAAAAAACAAAGAGCAGCAACCAAAACAUAAAACAAAAACCCACCCGGCUGCCUGCAGCAUUUAGCCUUUUCCUGCUCGCUGCCAAAAACACCGAAGCGGGCGCGAGCAGCCUCCCCGGCGGGGACGGGAGACCCCCGCGACCCCCGCCCGCCGCGCCGCGAAGGACGGGUGCGGGGGGCGGCCGCCCGCCCAGCCCCGCGCCCCGCGCCCGGCCGCAGCCCAGGAUUUCGUUUGGGGCCGGGUCGGCGCCCGCGGGCGGGACCCCCGGGACAGCGCCGCCUCCCCCCGGCGCCGCGGACCCCGCGGCCGGCAGCGGCGGGCGGGCGGGGGAACCGAGCCCGGCGGCCCCGUCCGCGAACGCGCACGGCCUGGCUCGGCCCUGCCGCGUCAGAGAAGUUGAACUAGCAGCCUACUUACUAUGCAUUGCUGCAAACGGGUCGUGCUUACAGUGUAUUUCCAUCGGAGCGGUCCGGAGCCGGAGCGGGCAGCCUCGCGGAUCAGAUCUCGGUUCGGCGGCGGCGCUCGCGUGUGGGGCUCGGGGGGGGGGGGGGGGGGAGGAGAAAAAAAAAAAAAAAAAAAAAAAAAAAAAAAAAAAAAAAAAAAAAAAAAAAAAAAAGCAAGCACGCUCCCAAACUUGGGUAUCCGACACCGGCGGCCAAGCGCAGAUCCCCGUGCACAAGUUGCAGCCUUCGGCCGUUCCCUCGGGCAGGGACCGCCGCCUCGCCGGCCGCCCCGCAGCCGCCCGCCGCUCCCGUCGGUGCGCCUUCCCUCCGCCGGCCGCGGCGGCUCUCACAGCGCCAUGCAGCCGCGGCGGCGCGGCUCCAGGCUGCCUGCCGCCCGGCUCCCGAGCGGCGCGGUCCGGCGGGCGCCGAGCCUCCCGCGCCGUCCCCCGGCGGCAGCUAACGGCGCGCCCCGACGGCUCUUUGUGCUGCGGGCGGCGGCGGCCCCGGCUCGCUGUGUCCGGCGGCCGAAAGCACCGGCGGGAGGCAGGCGGCUGCGCCGCGCCGCCGCUCCUGUGUCCGGCGGCCGCCGGGGCUGCCCGAGCGGCGCCGCGCCCGGUGCUGUCCGGCCGAGCCGCCGGCGCGGCUCCCGGCGGCGCGGGAGUUGCGGGAACUUGUCGAGCCGGGGUGGAGCGGCGGAGGGAAGAGGGGCGAGGCGGCGGCGGCGGCGGCGGCGGCGGCGGCGGGCGGCAGGAAGGUGUGUGCGAGGGGGCGGGAGGGCCGGGCGGAGGGAGGAGGGGACGGGCGGAGGGAGGGAGGGAGGGAGGGAAGAAGGGAGGAAGGGAGGGAGCGGCGGGGAGGGGGCUUCGGCGGGGCGCGCCGUUAGCUGCCGCCGUCGGACUUGGGGCGCGGGUGCGCAGCGCCCAUCGCCGCCGCCGCUGGCCGCGGGCGGGGGCAGCUCGGGGACUCCUCCCCACCCCGCCGCCUGCCGUCGGCGGCCCCGGGCGCCCGGGACACCGAGGCUGGGCUGGGGCCGUGCGCCCGCCGCGCUGCCCGCCCCGGCCGGGCCGCGGGGGUUGUGGCGGGCGGGGGCGGGGCGGGGGCGGGGCGGGGCGGGGUGGGGGGCGCGGGCCUGGAGCACGCCCCGCGCCCGGCCCGGUGCCCGCGGGCAGCGCCCGCCCAGGGGGCGCCGCGGGGCGGCUUCAGCACCGCGCCGCUGGACAGCGCCGGGGCGGGGCCCCGGCCGUCACUCAGGCGGCGCGUCCAAUCGCCGAGGGGGAGCUGCGCGGGACGCCGGGAGGUGCCGGCGCCGAUUGGCCGCGGCCGGGCCAAAUGGGGCGGCGGGGGCGGGUGAUGGGAAUGAGCGGGCAGGAGGGCGGGGCCUCGCCGAGGGGGCGGGGCCAUGCGGGGAAGGGGCGGGGCCUCGCGCUCCCGUCCCCCGACGGCCGGGCGGUGGGACCGGGACCCCGGCACCGGCACCGCCACCGCCGGGCCCCGGCCCCCCGACGGCCGCGUCGCCCCUUCCGGGAGCUGCCCCGUCCCGCUCCCUACCGUGCCCCCGCUCCGUCGGGGAGCACCGCGUGGGACCGGGGCAGGGCCUGCCGCAGCCCGACGUGCGCAGGGAGGCGCCGCCAGGCGGCCGAGCCGUCGGGGCGAGAUGGUGGCGCCCCCGCCCUCGCUCUCCGCCCCCCCGCCCCGCCGCCGGCCCGCCCGCCCCGGUGCCGACUCGACGGCGCGGUCUCCUCUCGGCUGCGCGCUCGGGCCGCUCCCGAGCCGCGGUAUCUGCGAGCGGGGGGAGGUUUGUCCGAGCCCCCGCCCCGGACGGCAGGGCAGUAG
This is a long non-coding RNA of Cairina moschata (Muscovy duck), 2361 nucleotides long. The record is from Ensembl. NCBI's taxonomy places the organism in Eukaryota, Metazoa, Chordata, Aves, Anseriformes, Anatidae.